This is a long non-coding RNA of Scophthalmus maximus (turbot), 3582 nucleotides long. RefSeq lists it as uncharacterized. The record is from RefSeq and is a predicted model, not a curated record. The transcript is spliced from 3 exons. NCBI's taxonomy places the organism in Eukaryota, Metazoa, Chordata, Actinopteri, Pleuronectiformes, Scophthalmidae.
GUAUGUUCCUUUAAGUGGAACAACAGCAGACCGCCGUGGUGUUGUUUGCUUUGGAGGUGGUCUGCUGGUGGCGUCGACGCCUGCAGGCGGUCCCCUCCUCUGUUGCCCAGGAAACACGGAUGGUGGAUGAAGGGCGCGCAUACAAAAGAGCGAAUAAACCUGUGGCGGCGGCAGCUGGGGAGCGACACCACCGAUUCCCUCCAGCUCAUGUGCAGCCUCGCCGGGGUUGAAAACGUCGCCGUGCUCUCAAGUGCCCUCCACCCAUCUUCUUUGUGUCGGGGCUCUCCGUCUCCACUUGGUGCCGUCUCCUUUCCUCUAAACCGGACUCCCGUCAGUGCGCAGCUGUGGUUGGCACACCCGCAUCUGCUGCCGUGGGCCGGCCCGUCGUCGACGCCCGGCCAGGAGGCGAGCAGCCUCUCACCGCGGGUCCUGGGCAGCAUCUCAUCUCGGGCAGCAGCAUGGGGACGAACAGGAGAGGAAGCAGAAGAUGGGAUCUCUCCUCUCGCACCGUGUGAUGCUGCAGGCCAGGUGCGCGAGGAAUCUGGAAACCACUGAUCUGCUGACAUGUCGCCAUUCAGGACACUGGGAGGAUCCAGAUGGGAACCAACAGCAAGACAGGUUAUGUGUACAGGCUGCAUUACCUUCAUUCACAUGAGGGGGGCUUCAUUUUCACAGGCACACAAUAUCACAAGGAGAAAUGAAUAGCAAUGCUCCGUCAGUGAGAUGACUGAGAUCAAUGAAGCCCAUUUCAAGUGACACCGAUCUUUUAGUAUGGGAUGUAUUUCAUUCUCCUUUGCCUCAAAGUAAAAAAAAACAACAAAAAAAAAACAGUAAGGAGAAACAAUGGAAUGAAAGAACAGGCAUUCCCUGGGGUAUCUUGGGAGGGCAGUUGGGUUGCAUCCCACUUUUCUGCUGCUUUGUGUUGUGUGUUCUUCUCCAGUUACACUGAUGAAAAGGCGAAUCGGGGCUCGCACCGGACCUCAUUGUAAACCUGCCGGCAUUGCGCCAUCUCCCUCUGCUGUACUGCCACCAAAGGCUGUGAUUGAUGCGCGACGCCAUUACCGCUCUCCUGUACCUUCGGAGGGAGAGAGGAUCCAUGUUGGACUGGAGAGAGGAUCUCGGCUGCCCUGCGUGUGUGUCGGUGAAAGGAGCUCUGAGGAGUUGAAGCACGCCACUGGCCUCUCGGCAGGCAGUGUGCGCAUGGUCAGAUUGGGCAGGGCGGUAUUUCGUAUAUAUUUUGAGCGAAAAAUAAUUCGCUGCAGUGUUCUUUUUUUUUUGUCAACCUCAAACGCGUGUACUUAGCCCCCUUACCGUGAGUAAUACCAAUACAGCUUCAUCCGCCCCCACUCUCACUUUUGGCCGAUCAAACCCACUGACGCUGCAGCCAUGGAACACGCCACGCUUGCGUUCUGCAGCUGCUGUGUGCGGUGACCUCCUCGCGCGGUUGCCUUGGUGACGCUGUCUAACACUGUAGUCACUUCUCCCAUGCAGAAGACACUUGACAUUGCUGUCUUGGGCGUUAACGUCUCAACAAAGCGAGCAUGUGUCUGUGCCAGCCCCAUGAGUGGAAAGCUAUAAAUAUUUUUAAGAAAAAGAAGAGAGAAAAAAAAAUGUGUGAUGAUGGUUUUCACAUAUUUCAAGUGUAAUUCGCACAGUAUGUUUUUGUUUGUCUUAAAUCCUCUUAAUAUGGGUUUGAUACCAACUAUUUAAAUGUAUUAUCAACAGUACAUACUCUUUUUACUGUCAUGGAUGGGUGUGUUUGUGUGUCUGUCUGCGUGAGUGAGUGCACUGUUUGUGCAUGUGCCCUACUUCUCUCUGUGUGUUUGUGUUCAUUUCCAUAAACGUGCAUGAGUACUCUGCUUCUGAUAGAAACUUGUUUGUACUGGGCCCGAGGCUAUCAACUGCUUUACAGUGAUUUUUUUUGUCUUCUCAUCACUGGAAACUUUUUUAAAUGCCUGAAGAUCUUCUUCUAGCCACUGGAUGUAACAGAAAAGGGAUCAAAAAAAUAUUUACAAAUGAUUCUUAGCAUUUGUUACAACUACACCGGAGUACCGGCGAUUGUGAUUUAGAUAAUCAUAAGAAUGGUGCUGGAAAUUAAUGGUGUGUAGUUUUCUAAAUGAUGCCAGCUGGCAUCGAUUUAAUGGUUUUGAUGCUUACAGCCCCCUCAUCUGAUACUUAAGCAAAUUACAUCAAAUGCUAAUAAUUAUGUGCAAAUAGCUUUUUGUUUUACCCAGGUCUGGACUGUACUAACAGUAUCUCACUAAUAUCUAACAGUACUAAUGUCUGCUAACAGUCGGAUGAUUACUAACCUGUACUGUGAAUGCUGAUGGCUGGCCUGGUUCUCCCUAACCCACCGACUAACCCUCUGCUUGAUGCACACACUCCUCUCUCAACAUCCUGCAAUCCUUCUACAGAUGACCUCCCCGAGAUUGGUCUUUGAAGAAAAAAAAUAAAUAAAAAAUUUAGCGCGUCAAGAAGGCUUUCAGGACUUGGGAAGGGAAAUGUUAUUAACCACAAGACGAAAAAAGAGGAGCGGGCGCAGCGGCUAAUAUGAAACUGGGUUGACCACACACUUGGAACAGAAUCCGCACCAACCUGAUUCUGACCCCGAUGCCAAAUGAUUUUACAGCACUGUGUCACACUCCACAGGCUGAAUUCAAAUAUCAGGAGACCAUGUUUUGUGUCUGUGUGGUCAACCUGUGCAGGUGAGUGCCUGGCUUGUUGUCACAAGCCAAGCGAACGGCUCCACUACUAACUCCUUAUGGUGUUGAUACUAACAAUGGGGAGGCUGGAUCAGGCCCCGCCCGUGGCUCUUACUAACAACUCUGCUCUCUCUGACUGACGCACUCUUUCGGUCCCGAUGUCUCUUUCCUUUUUUUUUGAAUUAGACCAGAACAUACCUCGUAGCGCCAGUGACGUGCGUUCGAUCGCAUUGCAUGGAAGCUUCAUCCGAAACAUCCUCUUGUGUCAUGAGCAAGUGCUUUUUACCGGAGAGCCGUGCUACGGAGAACAACUCAAGUCCUAAAUGAUUAAGCUAAAGACGUUUUCCUCUCAUGAUGAGCUACUAACAUCACCCGAAGUUCAAUUAACAGUUACUAACAUGAAGAGCUUCUGAUAGCUCUCUGCAAACUAACAAACUAACCCACUAAUAAACUACUAAUCUAACGAGAAACGAACUAAAUCACUAACUGUGUUGCGUGGCAGAAUUGGUGAAGCACCCUGAUUUUGAUUCUUCAUAUUUGAUCAAUUCAUGACAGUGUUGAGUGCGCGUGUGUGCGUGUGUGUGUGUGCGUGCGUGCACGAGACAGAGUGUUUGUACAGAGUGUGACGUGAUAGUGACCGCCAUAUUCAUAUCUAUAUGUAUCCACAGUUAAUUAUUCAGCUGAGGUGAGCACCAGGACACUUCUAAAACCUUGAGCCUCUCAAACACUGAACUGUGUGGACGUAUAAAGCAUGUUGAGAAAAAUAAUUUAAAUGUAAACAGCUAUUUGAAAAACAACAACUAUAUUGCUAAUUUAUGAGUUGUCUUUACUGUAUACUUUUGUAAUAAACACAUGAAUAAAACAUGUUUUUUGAAUCAAA